ACGGUGAACAAUGUAGCCCACAAACCCUAAAACCCUAGACUCUUCUCCAAGUAUUAAGCCUCUAUAAAUUUAUCGACCACAUCUCUAAUUCUAAUAUCUCCAUACCUCAUAAAUCACUGCUUCUUCUUUCAGCUCUUCCGAUCCUCCCAGUAAUUUGAGUAUUUAUGGUGUGAAAUUGUUGCAGUGAUCGGCUUUCGAUUUACGGCGGCAAGGGAUUGAACUAUUGAUAAUAGGACACAUUUGAAGGCUAUAUUUCGGUACUAUAAUGAAGGGGCUCUAUAUAGAAAAGUUGGUUGAGGUUGAAAAUCAUUUUAAAAAUAAUGUGGCUUCAGAAAUUGUGUGGCUUAAUGAAUCAUGAUUUUGCUAUUUUUAUGUGAUUUGGGUUUAAAAUAUUUUCAAUGAAUGAUUCAUUAGGCUCACACAGUUUCCCAAGCAGCAAUAUAUAUCCCAAAUUAUUUUGCUUCAACAAACUUUUUAUUUAUUUAGAGCCCUUUUAUUAUAGUGUUUUGAAUAUAGCCAUAUUGCCUGUUUUUGAGGGUUGAUAGAUUCCAUCAAAUGUACUGUAAGAGAAGUAAAAAUCCUUAUCUUACUUUUUACUGCAUUUUCAGCUUUAUUUUCAAUAUUUUCUCUUUAUUUUGAUUUGAUGAUUUUCUUCAUUUGUUUGCCUACUAAUAUCAGUUCUAGCUUGCAGCACAGGGCAUGGGGUUAAAGUUCAACAAUAUAUGUAGUUUGUUUGAAUCAAUAUUUGUAAACUUUGAAUUAGUAGUUCGAAUUGUUUUACUACUAUUUCUUUAUUCGAGACAAAAAUUAGUCUGGUUCUAGCGAAUUUGUUGUAAAAACUGUGAAAAUAUAUGACGUUCCAUCAUUUAACGA
Long non-coding RNA from Salvia hispanica, 873 nucleotides. RefSeq lists it as uncharacterized. The record is from RefSeq and is a predicted model, not a curated record. NCBI's taxonomy places the organism in Eukaryota, Viridiplantae, Streptophyta, Magnoliopsida, Lamiales, Lamiaceae.